UACGAGAGGCCCAAACAUUAUUCGGAAUUACUGGGCUCAAAGAGUUCGUAGGCGGCAUGGUAAGUAGGGUGUGAAAUCCCUCGGCUCAACCGAGGAAUUGCGCUCUAAACUACCGUGCUCGAGGAAGCUAGAGGUGAGCGGAACUGAUGGUGGAGCGGUGAAAUGCGUUGAUAUCAUCAGGAACACCGGAGGCGAAGGCGGCUCACUGGGGCUUUUCUGACGCUGAGGAACGAAAGCCAGGGUAGCGAACGGG
This 253-nucleotide ribosomal RNA is filed under the name uncultured bacterium. RNAcentral describes it as "partial 16S ribosomal RNA". It matches the Rfam family "Bacterial small subunit ribosomal RNA", at positions 524 to 776 of the family's 1533-position model. The record is from RNAcentral.